UGGUGCUAUGAGUGUCUACUGAUUUCUUUGUUUGUUUGCUCUUUAAGCUGGGCUUUGGUCGAUGGCCUGGUUUUUUGGUCUUGUAAGAUUCCAGGCUAUGUGCUUAGACUUUCCACCUAGCGGACUUUGGACUAUGUCCUGUUCUUGUAAUACUUGGCUCUUGCAAUCACUUGUGAUUGUGAAGGCCGAAAUGUUUCAUUCCUUAAUCUAAAAAAAUAAAAUAAAGAUAAU
RNAcentral lists this long non-coding RNA (231 nucleotides) under Sorghum bicolor (sorghum). RNAcentral's name for it is "long non-coding RNA (SBIC_LNC017843)". Lineage: Eukaryota; Viridiplantae; Streptophyta; Magnoliopsida; Poales; Poaceae. The record is from RNAcentral.